This 334-nucleotide unclassified non-coding RNA is filed under the name soil metagenome. RNAcentral describes it as "partial contains 5.8S ribosomal RNA, internal transcribed spacer 2, and large subunit ribosomal RNA". The stretch from base 1 to 120 matches the Rfam family "5.8S ribosomal RNA", at positions 35 to 154 of the family's 154-position model. The record is from RNAcentral.
GAUGAAGAACGUAGCGAAAUGCGAUAAGUAAUGUGAAUUGCAGAAUUCAGUGAAUCAUCGAAUCUUUGAACGCACAUUGUGCCCGCCAGUAUUCUGGCGAGCAUGCCUGUUCGAGCGUCAUUUCAACCAUCAAGCCCCAGGCUUGUGUUGGAGCCCUGCGGCUGCCGCAGCCUCCCAAAACCAGUGGCGGGCUCGCUAUCACACCGAGUGCAGUAGUUUACUCUUCGCUCAGGGCGUGUGGCGGGUGCUAGCCGUGAAACCCCCAACUUCUCAAGGUUGACCUCGGAUCAGGUAGGAAUACCCGCUGAACUUAAGCAUAUCAAUAAGCGGAGGA